This 633-nucleotide long non-coding RNA is filed under the name Gossypium barbadense (sea-island cotton). Its description in RNAcentral is "long non-coding RNA (GBAR_LNC023230)". Lineage: Eukaryota; Viridiplantae; Streptophyta; Magnoliopsida; Malvales; Malvaceae. The record is from RNAcentral.
GAUACGACCACGCCCCGGGCACAUUUUUCGAUCAGCUCCAUAAGUAUUUCUUGCACACCCAUGCGAGCUAAAUUAGCUCAAUUGCAUCUCACUGAGCUCUGUUUAGUUCGUUUCCAGUUCAAUGGGAUCGUUUUGCUCAUAUUGAGUUUAUUUUAAUUUUACAAACUCAUUUGCUGGAAUAAAUUGAAUAAAUUGAAUAAGUUAAUUUAGUUAUUUAAUUUAGCUCAAAUAAGUGUUAGUAAAUUAAUUAGUUUAAAUCUGAACAUCUUUAAUAUUUCUUGAGUUUAAUUGAUUGUGUUUUAUUUAGUACAGCAAUUUAAUAUGUCUUAGUUAGCUCAUUACAUCAUUUAAUAUGUUCCAGCCUAAGACAAUUUAAUUGACGAAUUAAUGUGUAUUUUUUAUUACAGCUAAUUGUUGUGUCUUGGCUGCUGAUUUAUCAUGUUUAAGUCAGCCGAAUUUAUGAGCAGAAUUAAUGUGUCCUUGUGUGGUUGACGAAUUUAAUAUGCCUUGUUGACCAAAUUUUAUUUUGUCUUAAACUUGAGUUAAUGGCUAAUUUAAAUGUGUACAGGUGCAUGGAAAUGGGGACAAAAAUUAAAGAAGGUUUAAUUCUUUGCUGCCGAAUUUAAUGUGCCC